Long non-coding RNA from Mesocricetus auratus (golden hamster), 837 nucleotides. RefSeq lists it as uncharacterized. The record is from RefSeq and is a predicted model, not a curated record. NCBI's taxonomy places the organism in Eukaryota, Metazoa, Chordata, Mammalia, Rodentia, Cricetidae. The transcript is spliced from 3 exons.
UGUGUGUGUGUGUGUGUGUGUGUCCCAGUUCCUAUACUAUAGAAAACAGCUUAUUUUUGCUUGGCCCUUUCAGCCAGCAUAUUUUCACUUUUGCUCAGUAUAUUUCAUUAUAUGGAUGUAUGCUACCUCUUGAUGGAAAUUAGUUUUUUUAUUGGAAAUUUAACUGUGAACACUGGGACCAUUUAUGUACAAAUUAUAUGCUAGCAUGCUUUCAUUUCUCUUGAAUUUUAUUUUCACUUUAAACCAGAAGUUGAUUUAAACAACAAGGUGGCUGGCUUGAAGAGAAAACUAUCUAGGAUCAUCUUCAAGGAUAAUUCACAGGUAGUCCUACACGUAACAGCUAUAUACAAAAAAGUUACAAAAUUGCCCUUGGUUUUACAACAAUAAAUAAAAAGCACUAAAUUCUCCAAUCGGAUAAGGUAUUGUGGAGGUUUCAGUGUAACUGGCCCCCAUAAGCUCAAAAUGAGUGGUACUAUUAGGAGGUGUGGCUUUGGGGUAGGUGUGGCCUUGUUGGAGGAAGUAUAACACUUAGGAGAGGGGUCUGAGGUCUCUUUUGCUCAAGCUUUGCUCAGUGUCACAGUCUAUUUCCUGUUGCCAGCUGAUCAAGAUGCAGCCAGCACCAGGUCUGCCUGCACGCCACCAUGCACCCUGCAGUGACAAUAAUGGAUUGAAUCUGUCAACUGCCAUGGUGAGCACCAGAGUCACUUCGGCUGCCACUUCACAAAAGUGACAACAGGUCCCCACUGAAGGAGCAUACAGGCAGCACCAGGGGUGGCAGAUUAAGGAGACAGGGUUUCUCUGUAUAGCCCUGGUUUUCCUGGAACUCACUCAGUAGAC